AGAACGAACGCUGGCGGCAGGCUUAACACAUGCAAGUCGAACGCCCCGCAAGGGGAGUGGCAGACGGGUGAGUAACGCGUGGGAAUCUACCUGGUUCUACGGAAUAACUGAGGGAAACUUCAGCUAAUACCGUAUACGCCCCAAGGGGGAAAGAUUUAUCGGUGCCAGAUGAGCCCGCGUUGGAUUAGCUAGUUGGUGGGGUAAUGGCCUACCAAGGCGACGAUCCAUAGCUGGUCUGAGAGGAUGAUCAGCCACACUGGGACUGAGACACGGCCCAGACUCCUACGGGAGGCAGCAGUGGGGAAUAUUGGACAAUGGGCGAAAGCCUGAUCCAGCCAUGCCGCGUGAGUGAUGAAGGCCUUAGGGUUGUAAAGCUCUUCAGUGGGAAGAUAAUGACGGUACCACAGAAGAAGCCCGGCUAACUUCGUGCCAGCAGCCGC
Molecule: ribosomal RNA, 440 nt
Filed under: uncultured bacterium
Lineage: Bacteria
Description: SSU rRNA
Rfam family: Bacterial small subunit ribosomal RNA
Source: RNAcentral